AGGAUGAACGCUGGCGGCGUGCUUAACACAUGCAAGUCGAACGAUGAUGCCAGCUUGCUGGUGGAUUAGUGGCGAACGGGUGAGUAACACGUGAGUAACCUGCCCUUAACUCUGGGAUAAGCCUGGGAAACUGGGUCUAAUACCGGAUAUGACUCCUCAUCGCAUGGUGGGGGGUGGAAAGCUUUAUUGUGGUUUUGGAUGGACUCGCGGCCUAUCAGCUUGUUGGUGAGGUAAUGGCUCACCAAGGCGACGACGGGUAGCCGGCCUGAGAGGGUGACCGGCCACACUGGGACUGAGACACGGCCCAGACUCCUACGGGAGGCAGCAGUGGGGAAUAUUGCACAAUGGGCGAAAGCCUGAUGCAGCGACGCCGCGUGAGGGAUGACGGCCUGGUUGUAACUCUUCAGUAGGAAGAAGCGAAAGUGACGUACCUGCAGAAGAAGCGCCGGCUAACUACGUGCCAGCAGCCGC
This 471-nucleotide ribosomal RNA is filed under the name uncultured soil bacterium. RNAcentral describes it as "bacterial SSU rRNA". It matches the Rfam family "Bacterial small subunit ribosomal RNA", at positions 26 to 518 of the family's 1533-position model. The record is from RNAcentral.